RNAcentral lists this ribosomal RNA (493 nucleotides) under uncultured Symbiodinium. RNAcentral's name for it is "partial Bacterial large subunit ribosomal RNA". It matches the Rfam family "Bacterial large subunit ribosomal RNA", at positions 822 to 1316 of the family's 2925-position model. Lineage: Eukaryota; Dinophyceae; Suessiales; Symbiodiniaceae. The record is from RNAcentral.
UAAAAGUCUAAUCAAACCUGGAGAUAGCUCGUUCUCUCCGAAAUAGCUUUAGGGCUAGCCUUGAGUUAACUACGUAAUGGGGGUAGAGCACUGAUUUGGACUGGGGGGCUUCCCGCCUACCCACCCUAGUUAAACUCCGAAUACCAUUGCGACUAUCUCAGGAGUCAGUCCACGAGGGAGAAGCUUCGUGGUCGAGAGGGAAACAACCCAGAUCGCCUGCUAAGGUCCCAAAGUCUUGCUAAGUCACUAAGGAUGUUAGGAUACUGUGACAGCCAGGAUGUUGGCUUAGAAGCAGCCAUCAUUUAAAAAGUGCGUAAUAGCUUACUGGUCGAGUGUUCUAGUACCGAUAAUGAACGGGAGUAAGUAAGACACCGAAGCAGCGGAUUCAGCUUAUGCUGAGUGGUAGGAGAGCGUUCCAGUACAGAUACUAGCCAUACCGAAAGGAGUGGUGUUGGGUACUGGAAGUGAUUAUGCCGGAAUGAGUAACGAUAAA